This 431-nucleotide ribosomal RNA is filed under the name uncultured bacterium. Its description in RNAcentral is "bacterial SSU rRNA". It matches the Rfam family "Bacterial small subunit ribosomal RNA", at positions 16 to 495 of the family's 1533-position model. The record is from RNAcentral.
AUCCUGGCUCAGAACGAACGCUGGCGGCAGGCUUAACACAUGCAAGUCGAGCGCCCCGCAAGGGGAGCGGCAGACGGGUGAGUAACGCGUGGGAACGUACCCUUUACUACGGAAUAACGCAGGGAAACUUGUGCUAAUACCGUAUGUGCCCUUCGGGGGAAAGAUUUAUCGGUAAGGGAUCGGCCCGCGUUGGAUUAGCUAGUUGGUGGGGUAAAGGCCUACCAAGGCGACGAUCCAUAGCUGGUCUGAGAGGAUGAUCAGCCACAUUGGGACUGAGACACGGCCCGAACUCCUACGGGAGGCAGCAGUGGGGAAUAUUGGACAAUGGGCGCAAGCCUGAUCCAGCCAUGCCGCGUGAGUGAUGAAGGCCCUAGGGUUGUAAAGCUCUUUCACCGGAGAAGAUAAUGACGGUAUCCGGAGAAGAAGCCCCG